Molecule: transfer RNA, 74 nt
Filed under: Schistocerca americana (American grasshopper)
Lineage: Eukaryota; Metazoa; Arthropoda; Insecta; Orthoptera; Acrididae
Description: tRNA-Ala
Rfam family: tRNA
About the family: Transfer RNA (tRNA) molecules are approximately 80 nucleotides in length. Their secondary structure includes four short double-helical elements and three loops (D, anti-codon, and T loops). Further hydrogen bonds mediate the characteristic L-shaped molecular structure. tRNAs have two regions of fundamental functional importance: the anti-codon, which is responsible for specific mRNA codon recognition, and the 3' end, to which the tRNAs corresponding amino acid is attached (by aminoacyl-tRNA synthetases). tRNAs cope with the degeneracy of the genetic code in two manners: having more than one tRNA (with a specific anti-codon) for a particular amino acid; and 'wobble' base-pairing, i.e. permitting non-standard base-pairing at the 3rd anti-codon position.
Source: RNAcentral
GGCUUGAUUGGCGCAGUGGUUAGCACACUGGACUCGCAUUCGGGAGGACGACGGUUCAAUCCCGUCUCCAGCCA